RNAcentral lists this unclassified non-coding RNA (173 nucleotides) under uncultured Arthrographis. Its description in RNAcentral is "sequence contains ITS1". The record is from RNAcentral. Lineage: Eukaryota; Fungi; Ascomycota; Dothideomycetes; Eremomycetales; Eremomycetaceae.
CCGAGUUCGUGCCCUCGCGGGUAGAUCUCCCACCCUUGUGUAUCUUAUGUUUUUGUUGCUUUGGCAGGCCGUUAAUUCGUUAACCACCGGCCCCUCGGGACUGGUGCGCGCCUGCCGGAGGAUCUCUUCAAACUCUGUUUGUCAGUGUCGUCUGAGUACUAUAACAAUCGUUA